RNAcentral lists this ribosomal RNA (464 nucleotides) under Vreelandella stevensii. RNAcentral's name for it is "partial 16S ribosomal RNA". It matches the Rfam family "Bacterial small subunit ribosomal RNA", at positions 338 to 795 of the family's 1533-position model. Lineage: Bacteria; Pseudomonadati; Pseudomonadota; Gammaproteobacteria; Oceanospirillales; Halomonadaceae. The record is from RNAcentral.
CCUACGGGGGGCUGCAGUGGGGAAUAUUGGACAAUGGGGGCAACCCUGAUCCAGCCAUGCCGCGUGUGUGAAGAAGGCCCUCGGGUUGUAAAGCACUUUCAGUGAGGAAGAACGCCUGGUGGUUAAUACCCAUCAGGAAAGACAUCACUCACAGAAGAAGCACCGGCUAACUCCGUGCCAGCAGCCGCGGUAAUACGGAGGGUGCGAGCGUUAAUCGGAAUUACUGGGCGUAAAGCGCGCGUAGGUGGCUUGAUAAGCCGGUUGUGAAAGCCCCGGGCUCAACCUGGGAACGGCAUCCGGAACUGUCAAGCUAGAGUGCAGGAGAGGAAGGUAGAAUUCCCGGUGUAGCGGUGAAAUGCGUAGAGAUCGGGAGGAAUACCAGUGGCGAAGGCGGCCUUCUGGACUGACACUGACACUGAGGUGCGAAAGCGUGGGUAGCAAACAGGAUUAGAACCCCGGUAGUC